UACGUAGGUGGCAAGCGUUGUCCGGAAUUAUUGGGCGUAAAGCGCGCGCAGGCGGCCUCUUAAGUCUGAUGUGAAAGCCCCCGGCUCAACCGGGGAGGGCCAUUGGAAACUGGGAGGCUUGAGUAUAGGAGAGAAGAGUGGAAUUCCACGUGUAGCGGUGAAAUGCGUAGAGAUGUGGAGGAACACCAGUGGCGAAGGCGACUCUUUGGCCUAUAACUGACGCUGAGGCGCGAAAGCGUGGGGAGCGAACAGG
Molecule: ribosomal RNA, 253 nt
Filed under: uncultured bacterium
Lineage: Bacteria
Also listed under: 1 other name
Description: partial 16S ribosomal RNA
Rfam family: Bacterial small subunit ribosomal RNA
Source: RNAcentral